Molecule: ribosomal RNA, 738 nt
Filed under: uncultured archaeon
Lineage: Archaea
Description: bacterial SSU rRNA
Rfam family: Archaeal small subunit ribosomal RNA
Source: RNAcentral
GUAGUCCUGGCUGUAAACGAUGCAGGCUAGGUGUUAGAUGGGCGUUAGUGCCCAUCUAGUGCCGCAGGGAAGCCGUUAAGCCUGCCGCCUGGGGAGUACGGCCGCAAGGCUGAAACUUAAAGGAAUUGGCGGGGGGGCACACAAGGGGUGGAGCCUGCGGCUCAAUUGGAGUCAACGCCGGGAACCUCCACCGGGAGCGACAGCAGGAUGACGGCCAGGCUAACGACCUUGCCCGACACGCUGAGGGGAGGUGCACGGCCGUCGCCAGCUCGUGCUGUGAAGUGUCCUGUUAAGUCAGGCAACGAGCGAGACCCCCGCCCUUAGUUGCUAUCCCAUAGGAGACUAUGGGGGCACACUAAGGGGACUGCCGCCGCUAAGGCGGAGGAAGGAGGGGGCCACGGCAGGUCAGCAUGCCCCUAAACUCCCGGGCUGCACGCGGGCUACAAUGACGGGGACAGCGGGUUCCGACCCCGAAAGGGGAAGGCAAUCCCUGAAACCCCGCCGUAGUUGGGAUUGAGGGCUGCAACUCGCCCUCAUGAACCUGGAAUCCCUAGUAACCGCGCGUCAUCAUCGCGCGGUGAAUACGUCCCUGCCCCUUGUACACACUGCCCGUCGCUCCAUCCGAGAGAGGGGAAGGUGAGGCCCCUUCCUCCAGGGAAGAGGUCGAACCUUCCCCUCUCGAGGAGGGAGAAGUCGUAACAAGGUAGCCGUAGGGGAACCUGCGGCUGGAUCACCUCC